AUGACCUCAAGGAAGCCCGCACCAAAUUCCCGGACGAAUGGAGUGUUCAGCGUCAGUGGGCUGUCGCUGGUCACCGGACAACAAUUUGAGAUCAAGGUUGUCAUAUCCCAUUAA
Molecule: ribosomal RNA, 114 nt
Filed under: Triticum aestivum (bread wheat)
Lineage: Eukaryota; Viridiplantae; Streptophyta; Magnoliopsida; Poales; Poaceae
Description: partial small subunit ribosomal RNA
Source: RNAcentral